Molecule: ribosomal RNA, 256 nt
Filed under: uncultured Pseudomonas sp.
Lineage: Bacteria; Pseudomonadati; Pseudomonadota; Gammaproteobacteria; Pseudomonadales; Pseudomonadaceae
Description: partial 16S ribosomal RNA
Rfam family: Bacterial small subunit ribosomal RNA
Source: RNAcentral
CGGCGGACGGGUGAGUAAUGCCUAGGAAUCUGCCUGGUAGUGGGGACAACGUUUCGAAAGGAACGCUAAUACCGCAUACGUCCUACGGGAGAAAGCAGGGGACCUUCGGGCCUUGCGCUAUCAGAUGAGCCUAGGUCGGAUUAGCUAGUUGGUGAGGUAAUGGCUCACCAAGGCGACGAUCCGUAACUGGUCUGAGAGGAUGAUCAGUCACACUGGAACUGAGACACGGUCCAGACUCCUACGGGAGGCAGCAGGC